CAGAUCGAUUCCAUUUUCCGUUCGUCCCCGCGCAGGCGGGGACCCAAGGCAAGGAACUGGAUUCCCGCUUUCGCGGGAAUGAGCGGAGAGGGAACGUUAAACGCGGCGCGCGUCGUUGAGCUCGCGCUUCAUGUAGAACUUCCGGUCAUCCUCAUCGAUGACGCGGAAGCCCAGACGUUCAUAGAGUUUCAAGGCGCGAUUGCUGCGCCCCACGGCGAGUGUCAUCGGCUGACGCGCG
RNAcentral lists this unclassified non-coding RNA (238 nucleotides) under Hevea brasiliensis (rubber tree). The record is from RNAcentral. Lineage: Eukaryota; Viridiplantae; Streptophyta; Magnoliopsida; Malpighiales; Euphorbiaceae.